This 911-nucleotide ribosomal RNA is filed under the name uncultured bacterium. RNAcentral describes it as "bacterial SSU rRNA". It matches the Rfam family "Bacterial small subunit ribosomal RNA", at positions 8 to 915 of the family's 1533-position model. The record is from RNAcentral.
AGAGUUUGAUCCUGGCUCAGAUUGAACGCUGGCGGCAUGCCUUACACAUGCAAGUCGAACGGCAGCACGGGAGCAAUCCUGGUGGCGAGUGGCGAACGGGUGAGUAAUAUAUCGGAACGUGCCCAGUCGUGGGGGAUAACGUAGCGAAAGCUACGCUAAUACCGCAUACGAUCUACGGAUGAAAGCGGGGGAUCGCAAGACCUCGCGCGAUUGGAGCGGCCGAUAUCAGAUUAGCUAGUUGGUGGGGUAAAAGCCCACCAAGGCGACGAUCUGUAGCUGGUCUGAGAGGACGACCAGCCACACUGGAACUGAGACACGGUCCAGACUCCUACGGGAGGCAGCAGUGGGGAAUUUUGGACAAUGGGCGCAAGCCUGAUCCAGCAAUGCCGCGUGCAGGACGAAGGCCUUCGGGUUGUAAACUGCUUUUGUACGGAACGAAACGGUCUCUUCUAAUACAGGGGGCUAAUGACGGUACCGUAAGAAUAAGCACCGGCUAACUACGUGCCAGCAGCCGCGGUAAUACGUAGGGUGCGAGCGUUAAUCGGAAUUACUGGGCGUAAAGCGUGCGCAGGCGGUUAUAUAAGACAGAUGUGAAAUCCCCGGGCUCAACCUGGGACCUGCAUUUGUGACUGUAUAGCUAGAGUACGGUAGAGGGGGAUGGAAUUCCGCGUGUAGCAGUGAAAUGCGUAGAUAUGCGGAGGAACACCGAUGGCGAAGGCAAUCCCCUGGACCUGUACUGACGCUCAUGCACGAAAGCGUGGGGAGCAAACAGGAUUAGAUACCCUGGUAGUCCACGCCCUAAACGAUGUCAACUGGUUGUUGGGUCUUCACUGACUCAGUAACGAAGCUAACGCGUGAAGUUGACCGCCUGGGGAGUACGGCCGCAGGGUUGAAACUCAAAGGAAUUGACG